AAAAAGAUAAACCUGGUUUCGUGUCCAACGUUUAACCGUCCGUUUUAUUUGAAAAAAUUAUGAAAAAAAUUAAAAAAAACAAUUCACACAUAAAAUAUUAAUCAUGUUUUAUCAUCUAACAACAAUGAAAAUACGAAUUAUAAAAAAAAAUUCAUAUAAGACGGACAGUUAAAGUUGGACACGGAAACCUAGGAUUUGUCUUUUU
Oryza sativa Japonica Group (Japanese rice) is the source of this 205-nucleotide microRNA precursor. It matches the Rfam family "MIR812 microRNA precursor family". Lineage: Eukaryota; Viridiplantae; Streptophyta; Magnoliopsida; Poales; Poaceae. The record is from Rfam.